Molecule: long non-coding RNA, 1030 nt
Organism: Fundulus heteroclitus (mummichog)
Lineage: Eukaryota; Metazoa; Chordata; Actinopteri; Cyprinodontiformes; Fundulidae
Exons: 3
Source: RefSeq, a predicted model, not a curated record
UUACCAUAGGGAACAAAGGACGGCACCUGAUGUUGGUCGAACAAGUCAUACCACGAAGUAUGUUAUGCAGUGUUAUGCUGUUAUGCAGUGUUUUGCUGGCAUCCGUCCGCUUAAAUACCCCCCGCCGAGGGACACAUAAUGCUGAACACCUGAUGAUGUGUUCCAGUCCUUGGGAUUGGAUGAAGUGAGGCAGCGAAAGGAGGACCCCUGGCUCCUGGUUCAUACGUGUGGCUUGUCCGUGGGACUGGGGGUGGUAACCAGAGGUAAGGGCAUAUCUAGCACAGAGGGCAGUGGAGAACUCCUUCCAGAUGUGGGCGGUGAACUGGGGCCGUGGUCUGUAAGGAUCUCUUGGGUGAUGCUGUGGAGGCGGAACACAUGCCUGGCCAGAAACUGAGCAGUCUGGAAGGCCGAGAGGAGCUUACGAAGAGGAACCAGGUGACAAUCGUUAGGAUGGUGGUCAUCCCCUGGGAGGAGGGAAGGACAGUGACCAAGUCCAAUUCAAUGUGCGACCAGGGGCGUUUGGGGAUCGGGAGUGGCUGGAGAAGGCCCGAAGGAGGUGGCUGCAGUUGACGGGUGGGCAUGGCCCGCACCUGCGGCUCAUUUGGACUGCUUCUUUCUCGCUUAAAAGGAGUGCUCAAACAGCUGGAAGACGCCAGAGUGUUACCCCGUUGUGUUCAUCGUGUUUUUGGAUUUGCUCACUUGUGUUGGCUCUGUGCAUCGAAGACCAGAUCCUCGAAUCCCCGCUGCUCAGAUUUUGCUCUGGCGUCUCCCCUCAAACUCCCUUUGUGUUACCAACUGGGCAAGAGAGCCACUCCCUGGAUUCACCCUGGUUCUUCUGGAAUCACCCUGGUUCUUCCAGCUGCUCCUCCUGCCUGCCGCCGCAGUGGUGCUGCUCAGGCUCCCCGCCUGUAUAACAUCUGCCAGCCCUCCCGUCACUCAGCCAUCUCCUUCCACGAGAGACUUUACGGUCACAGAACUCCUUUUCCACUCAUCCUCCCGGAUAGGUCCUCCCAGCCAAGCGGUAAGCACA